AACGAACGCUGGCGGCAUGCCUAACACAUGCAAGUCGAACGAGACCUUCGGGUCUAGUGGCGCACGGGUGCGUAACGCGUGGGAACCUGCCCUUAGGUUCGGAAUAACUCCCCGAAAGGGGUGCUAAUACCGGAUAAUGUCUUCGGACCAAAGAUUUAUCGCCUUUGGAUGGGCCCGCGUUGGAUUAGCUAGUUGGUAGGGUAAAAGCCUACCAAGGCGUCGAUCCAUAGCUGGUCUGAGAGGAUGGUCAGCCACACUGGGACUGAGACACGGCCCAGACUCCUACGGGAGGCAGCAGUGGGGAAUAUUGGAAAAUGGGCGAAAGCAUGAUCCAGCAAUGCUGGGUGAGUGAUGAAGGCGUUAGGGUUGUAAAGCUCUUUUACCCGGGAUGAUAAUGACAGUACCGGGAGAAUAAGCUCCGGCUAACUCCGUG
Molecule: ribosomal RNA, 433 nt
Filed under: uncultured bacterium
Lineage: Bacteria
Description: partial 16S ribosomal RNA
Rfam family: Bacterial small subunit ribosomal RNA
Source: RNAcentral